AACGAACGCUGGCGGCAUGCCUAACACUUGCCAGUCGAACGAGACCUUCGGGUCUAGUGGCGCACGGGUGCGUAACGCGUGGGAACCUGCCCUUAGGUUCGGAAUAACUCCCCGAAAGGGGUGCUAAUACCGGAUAAUGUCUUCGGACCAAAGAUUUAUCGCCUUUGGAUGGGCCCGCGUUGGAUUAGCUAGUUGGUAGGGUAAAAGCCUACCAAGGCGACGAUCCAUAGCUGGUCUGAGAGGAUGAUCAGCCACACUGGGACUGAGACACGGCCCAGACUCCUACGGGAGGCAGCAGUGGGGAAUAUUGGACAAUGGGCGAAAGCCUGAUCCAGCAAUGCCGCGUGAGUGAUGAAGGCCUUAGGGUUGUAAAGCUCUUUUACCCGGGAUGAUAAUGACAGUACCGGGAGAAUAAGCUCCGGCUAACUCCGUG
RNAcentral lists this ribosomal RNA (433 nucleotides) under uncultured bacterium. RNAcentral's name for it is "partial 16S ribosomal RNA". It matches the Rfam family "Bacterial small subunit ribosomal RNA", at positions 29 to 507 of the family's 1533-position model. The record is from RNAcentral.